CCUACGGGCGGCAGCAGUGGGGAAUAUUGCUCAAUGGGCGAGAGCCUGACGCAGCGACGCCGCGUGAGGGAUGAAGGUCUUCGGGUCGGAAACCUCUGUCAGCAGGGAAGAACGGUCACUGUGCUAAUCAGCAGUGAAUUGACGGUACCUGCAAAGGAAGCACCGGCUAACUCCGUGCCAGCAGCCGCGGUAAUACGGAGGGUGCGAGCGUUAAUCGGAAUUUCUGGGCGUAAAGCGCUCGUAGGCGGUAUGUCAAGUCAAGGGUGAAAUCCCCGCGCUCAACGUGGGAACUGCCUUUGAAACUGGCAAACUGGAGUGUGUGAGAGGAUAGUGGAAUUCCAGGUGUAGGAGUGAAAUCCGUAGAUAUCUGGCGGAACAUCAGUGGCGAAGGCGACUAUCUGGCACACAACUGACGCUGAGGAGCGAAAGCGUGGGUAGCAAACAGGAUUAGAUACCCGAGUAGUC
This 465-nucleotide ribosomal RNA is filed under the name uncultured bacterium. RNAcentral's name for it is "partial 16S ribosomal RNA". It matches the Rfam family "Bacterial small subunit ribosomal RNA", at positions 338 to 795 of the family's 1533-position model. The record is from RNAcentral.